AGUUGCCAUGACCGCUCAUCCAUCGAGAAAUAUAGAAACAUCUUCUGGAGCUAUAAUGAAAUUUGAUGAUGUGAAAUACAGUAUAGGUAUCACAAACGUGUCGGCAUACAAAAAUACAGGAAAAUUCGUAUGUGAAUUGGAAGGAAUUUAUAUUAUAUCAGCUUCCGUUAUGUCGUAUACCAAUGGUGCGGAAUACUACAUAUAUCUGAAUGGGAAUACUAUUUCAGAUACAUACAUCGGCAAUCAUAGCGGCAAAUUUGAUCACACUGGUGCAGUAACUUUCGUCCGAAAGUUAAAUCCAAAUGAUAAAGUCUGGUUGGUAGCUAGCGGUAGUUGGCAUUUCUAUG
Molecule: long non-coding RNA, 347 nt
Filed under: Mytilus galloprovincialis (Mediterranean mussel)
Lineage: Eukaryota; Metazoa; Mollusca; Bivalvia; Mytilida; Mytilidae
Source: RNAcentral